GCUCAGAGCGAACGUUAGCGGCGGGCCUAACACAUGCAAGUCGAACGCGAAAGGUCUUCGGACUGAGUAGAGUGGCGCACGGGUGAGUAACACGUAGGUAAUCUACCCUUUGGCGGGGGAUAACGUUCCGAAAGGAGCGCUAAUACCGCAUAAGACCACGGAGUCUCCGGACGCUGUGGGAAAAGGUGGCCUCUUCUUGAAAGCUACCACCGAAGGAUGAGCCUGCGUCCCAUCAGCUAGUUGGUAAGGUAAUGGCUUACCAAGGCGAAGACGGGUAGCUGGUUUGAGAGAAUGAUCAGCCACACUGGCACUGGAACACGGGCCAGACUCCUACGGGAGGCAGCAGUGAGGAAUAUUGGGCAAUGGGCGAAAGCCUGACCCAGCCACGCCGCGUGAGUGAUGAAGGCCCUCGGGUCGUAAAGCUCUGUGGAGAGGGACGAAAACCCUGGUUUCAAAUAGGCUCCAGGCUUGACGGUACCUCUUUAGCAAGCACCGGCUAACUCUGUG
Molecule: ribosomal RNA, 507 nt
Filed under: uncultured bacterium
Lineage: Bacteria
Description: bacterial SSU rRNA
Rfam family: Bacterial small subunit ribosomal RNA
Source: RNAcentral